UGCAUGCUGGUGUAUGUCGGCUGCCGACAGUCGCGUCCUCGACGGCAUAUCUGAAAAGGACGACGAUUGGUCAGAGCAAAAGAAAAGGGCAGGAAAGAAAAUGAAGAUGUCGGGAGAGUGCCAACCAACCUAAACGAGGGACCGGGCUAAGGUCGGCGUCGUACAAGGCCUGCUCGGUGACGAGCUCGCUCUGCUUCGGCACCAAGAUAUCCUUUAGCCGAUGGAAGUCCUCCCGAUCAUCGGCCUCCACCCGACUGUUCUCAUUGGGAUCGGUUCGGGGAUUCCCCCAACGGACGGGAAAUCCCCAG
This 308-nucleotide long non-coding RNA is filed under the name Elaeis guineensis (African oil palm). RNAcentral's name for it is "long non-coding RNA (EGUI_LNC071589)". The record is from RNAcentral. Lineage: Eukaryota; Viridiplantae; Streptophyta; Magnoliopsida; Arecales; Arecaceae.